GGCUGUUUCUAAAAAAGAAGGCAUAGACUUUGCUCGGGAGUAUGGAUGCUUGUUUCUGGAGUGUAGUGCAAAGACCCGGGUCAAUGUUGAGCAAUGUUUUGAAGAGCUUGUUCUUAAGGUAGUAACUUUGCUCCUUUCAUCCAAGCUUUCAUACUAAGGAUGAUGAGUAUGUCUUUUAACCUUUCUUUUAAUCCGCAGAUCUUGGAAACACCGAGUCUUACUGCUGAAGGUUCAUCUGGCGGAAAGAAGAACAUUUUCAAACAAAACCCGGCGCAGACCAGCAGUGCUUCGUCAAGCUACUGCUGCUCGUCUUAGAC
RNAcentral lists this long non-coding RNA (317 nucleotides) under Capsella rubella. RNAcentral's name for it is "long non-coding RNA (CRUB_LNC005057)". Lineage: Eukaryota; Viridiplantae; Streptophyta; Magnoliopsida; Brassicales; Brassicaceae. The record is from RNAcentral.